AACGCGAAGAACCUUACCUAAGCUUGACAUCCUUUUGACCUCUCCCUAAUCGGAGAUUUCCCUUCGGGGACAAAAGUGACAGGUGGUGCAUGGUUGUCGUCAGCUCGUGUCGUGAGAUGUUGGGUUAAGUCCCGCAACGAGCGCAACCCUUGUCUUUAGUUGCCAUCAUUAAGUUGGGCACUCUAGAGAGACUGCCGAGGAUAACUCGGAGGAAGGUGGGGAUGACGUCAAAUCAUCAUGCCCCUUAUGCUUAGGGCUACACACGUGCUACAAUGGGUGGUACAGAGGGCAGCCAAGUCGUGAGGCGGAGCUAAUCCCUUAAAGCCAUUCUCAGUUCGGAUUGUAGGCUGAAACUCGCCUACAUGAAGCUGGAGUUACUAGUAAUCGCAGAUCAGAAUGCUGCGGUGAAUGCGUUCCCGGGUCUUGUACACACCG
This 435-nucleotide ribosomal RNA is filed under the name uncultured bacterium. RNAcentral's name for it is "bacterial SSU rRNA". It matches the Rfam family "Bacterial small subunit ribosomal RNA", at positions 958 to 1392 of the family's 1533-position model. The record is from RNAcentral.